AUGGCGGACCGCGGGGGCUACGUGCAGGUGCAGCACGGGCAGUACGGCGGCGGGCACCACGGCGGGCAGCAGCAGCACGGGCGCCAGAUGGGCGAGCAGAUGAAGGGCAUGUUCCAGGAGAAGGCGCCGUCGGCGUCGCAGGCGCUGACGGUGGCGACGCUGUUCCCGCUGGGCGGGCUGCUGCUGGUGCUGUCCGGGCUGGCGCUGGCGGGCACCGUGGUGGGGCUGGCCGUGGCCACGCCCGUGUUCCUGCUCUUCAGCCCCAUGCUGGUCCCGGCCGCGCUCACCAUCGGCCUGGCCGUCACCGGGUUCCUCACCUCCGGCGCGCUGGGGCUGGGCGGCCUCUCCUCGCUCACCGUCCUCGCCAACACGGCGCGCCAGGCGUUCCAGCGCACCCCGGACUACGUGGAGGAGGCGCGCCAGCGCAUGGCCGAUGCCGCCGCGGCCGCGGGGCACAAGACGCAGCAGGCCGGCCACGCCAUCCAGAGCCGCGCGGAGGACGCGCGCGCCGGAGGAGGUGGCCACACCGGCGCCACCGGCGGAGCGGGCGCCGGCACCGGCACCGGCACCAGGGCGUCGUCGUAA
This 585-nucleotide ribosomal RNA is filed under the name Triticum aestivum (bread wheat). Its description in RNAcentral is "partial small subunit ribosomal RNA". Lineage: Eukaryota; Viridiplantae; Streptophyta; Magnoliopsida; Poales; Poaceae. The record is from RNAcentral.